RNAcentral lists this ribosomal RNA (387 nucleotides) under uncultured bacterium. RNAcentral describes it as "bacterial SSU rRNA". It matches the Rfam family "Bacterial small subunit ribosomal RNA", at positions 28 to 417 of the family's 1533-position model. The record is from RNAcentral.
GACGAACGCUGGCGGCGUGCUUAACACAUGCAAGUCGAGCGGUAAGGCCCUUUCGGGGGUACACGAGCGGCGAACGGGUGAGUAACACGUGGGUGACCUGCCCUCAGCUCUGGGAUAAGCCUGGGAAACUGGGUCUAAUACUGGAUAUGACUCCACGGUGCAUGUCGUGGGGUGGAAAGCCUUGUGCGGCUGAGGAUGGGCCCGCGGCCUAUCAGCUUGUUGGUGGGGUGANGGCCUACCAAGGCGACGACGGGUAGCCGGCCUGAGAGGGCGACCGGCCACACUGGGACUGAGACACGGCCCAGACUCCUACGGGAGGCAGCAGUGGGGAAUAUUGCGCAAUGGGCGGAAGCCUGACGCAGCGACGCCGCGUGGGGAUGACGGCCU